This 504-nucleotide ribosomal RNA is filed under the name uncultured bacterium. RNAcentral's name for it is "partial 16S ribosomal RNA". It matches the Rfam family "Bacterial small subunit ribosomal RNA", at positions 30 to 523 of the family's 1533-position model. The record is from RNAcentral.
AUUGAACGCUGGCGGCAUGCCUUACACAUGCAAGUCGAACGGCAGCAUGGAGAGCUUGCUCUCUGAUGGCGAGUGGCGAACGGGUGAGUAAUGCAUCGGAACGUACCGUGUAAUGGGGGAUAACGUAGCGAAAGUUACGCUAAUACCGCAUACGACCUGAGGGUGAAAGCAGGGGAUCGCAAGACCUUGCGUUAUACGAGCGGCCGAUGCGAGAUUAGCUAGUUGGUGAGGUAAAGGCUCACCAAGGCGACGAUCUGUAGCGGGUCUGAGAGGAUUAUCAGCAAUACUGUGAAUUAGAAGCGGGACAAACUCCAACGGGAGGAAGCAGUGUGGAAAUUUGGACAAUGGGGGCAACCCUGAUCCAGUCAUGCCGCGUGAGUGAAGAAGGCCUUCGGGUUGUAAAGCUCUUUCGGCCGGGAAGAAAUCGCACAGGCUAAUACUCUGUGUGGAUGACGGUACCGGCAUAAGAAGCACCGGCUAACUACGUGCCAGCCGCCGCAGUAA